This 253-nucleotide ribosomal RNA is filed under the name uncultured bacterium. RNAcentral describes it as "partial 16S ribosomal RNA". It matches the Rfam family "Bacterial small subunit ribosomal RNA", at positions 524 to 776 of the family's 1533-position model. The record is from RNAcentral.
GACGAACCGUGCGAACGUUAUUCGGAAUCACUGGGCUUAAAGCGCGUGUAGGCGGGCCGGCGCGUCGGCCGCUGAAAUCCCCCGGCUCAACCGGGGAAGCGGCGCCGAUACGGCCGGCCUGGAGGGACGUAGGGGGGCUGGAACUUCCGGUGGAGCGGUGAAAUGCGUUGAGAUCGGAAGGAACGCCCGUGGCGAAAGCGAGCCCCUGGACGUCUACUGACGCUGAGACGCGAAAGCCAGGGGAGCGAACGGG